This 93-nucleotide transfer RNA is filed under the name Coriobacteriia bacterium. RNAcentral describes it as "tRNA-Ser". It matches the Rfam family "tRNA". From Rfam's summary of the family: Transfer RNA (tRNA) molecules are approximately 80 nucleotides in length. Lineage: Bacteria; Bacillati; Actinomycetota; Coriobacteriia. The record is from RNAcentral.
GGAGGGGUGGCAGAGUGGUUGAAUGCGGCGGUCUCGAAAACCGUUGUGCGGGUAUCCCCCGUACCGAGGGUUCGAAUCCCUCCCCCUCCGCCA